RNAcentral lists this ribosomal RNA (560 nucleotides) under Fusarium solani. RNAcentral describes it as "eukaryotic LSU rRNA". The stretch from base 186 to 560 matches the Rfam family "Eukaryotic large subunit ribosomal RNA", at positions 1 to 379 of the family's 3401-position model. Lineage: Eukaryota; Fungi; Ascomycota; Sordariomycetes; Hypocreales; Nectriaceae. The record is from RNAcentral.
UCCGAGCGUCAUUACAACCCUCAGGCCCCCGGGCCUGGUGUUGGGGAUCGGCGGAGCCCUCCGGGGCACACGCCGUCCCCCAAAUUCAGUGGCGGUCUCGCUGCAGCCUCCAUUGCGUAGUAGCUAACACCUCGCAACUGGAAGGCGGCGCGGCCACGCCGUAAAACCCCCCAACUUCUGAAUGUUGACCUCGGAUCAGGUAGGAAUACCCGCUGAACUUAAGCAUAUCAAUAAGCGGAGGAAAAGAAACCAACAGGGAUUGCCUCAGUAACGGCGAGUGAAGCGGCAACAGCUCAAAUUUGAAAUCUGGCUCUCGGGCCCGAGUUGUAAUUUGUAGAGGAUGCUUUUGGUGCGGUGCCUUCCGAGUUCCCUGGAACGGGACGCCAUAGAGGGUGAGAGCCCCGUCUGGUUGGAUGCCAAUCCUCUGUAAAGCUCCUUCGACGAGUCGAGUAGUUUGGGAAUGCUGCUCUAAAUGGGAGGUAUAUGUCUUCUAAAGCUAAAUACCGGCCAGAGACCGAUAGCGCACAAGUAGAGUGAUCGAAAGAUGAAAAGAACUUUGA